RNAcentral lists this ribosomal RNA (1949 nucleotides) under human gut metagenome. RNAcentral's name for it is "bacterial LSU rRNA". It matches the Rfam family "Bacterial large subunit ribosomal RNA", at positions 3 to 1995 of the family's 2925-position model. The record is from RNAcentral.
UCAAGUGACUAAGUGCAUGUGGCGGAUGCCUUGGCGAUCACAGGCGAAGAAAGACGCGGCAGCCUGCGAAAAGCUGCGGGGAGCUGGCAAACGAGCUUUGAUCCGCAGAUAUCUGAAUGGGGGAACCCACACCGCAAGGUGUAUCCGUAGCUGAAUACAUAGGUUACGGAGGCGAACGAGGAGAACUGAAACAUCUAAGUAUCCUCAGGAAAAGAAAUCAACCGAGAUUCCGGCAGUAGCGGCGAGCGAACCCGGAGGAGCCUAGCUUUUGAUAGUACGAACUUUAGCCGAAAGGUCCUGGAAAGGCCUGCUAUAGUGGGUGAUAGCCCCGUAGGCGAAAGAGUUGGUACGGUACUAAGGAAGCGAGAAGUAGAGCGGGACACGUGGAAUCCUGUUCGAAGACGGGGGGACCAUCCUCCAAGGCUAAAUACUCGUGAUCGACCGAUAGUGAACCAGUACCGUGAGGGAAAGGCGAAAAGAACCCCGGGAGGGGAGUGAAAUAGAACCUGAAACCGCAUGCAUACAAACAGUAGGAGCCUCUUCAGAGGUGACUGCGUACCUUUUGCAUAAUGGGUCAGCGACUUACAUUCUGUGGCGAGCUUAACCGAAUAGGGGAGGCGCAGCGAAAGCGAGUUCGAAAUGAGCGUCCAGUCGCAGGGUGUAGACCCGAAACCAGAUGAGCUAUCCAUGGCCAGGUUGAAGGUGUGGUAACACACACUGGAGGACCGAACCGACUAGUGUUGCAAAAUUAGCGGAUGAGCUGUGGAUAGGGGUGAAAGGCCAAACAAAUCUGGAGAUAGCUGGUUCUCCCCGAAAACUAUUGAGGUAGUGCCUCGUGUGUCGCUCCAGGGGGUAGAGCACUGUUUUGGCUAGGGGGACAUGGAGUCUUACCAAACCAAGGCAAACUCCGAAUACCUGGAAGCGUGAGCACGGGAGACAGAGCACCGGGUGCUAACGUCCGGACUCAAAAGGGAAACAACCCAGACCGCCGGCUAAGGUCCCAAAUAACAGCUAAGUGGAAAACGAAGUGGAAAGGCCGUGACAACCAGGAAGUUGGCUUAGAAGCAGCCAUCCUUCAAAGAAAGCGUAAUAGCUCACUGGUCGAGUCCUUCUGCGCGGAAGAUGUAACGGGGCUAAGCUGUUAACCGAAGCCGCGGAUGCGCUGGUUAUCCAGUGCGUGGUAGGGGAGCGUUCUGUAAGUCUGCGAAGGCGGUUCGAGAGGACUGCUGGAGAUAUCAGAAGUGCGAAUGCUGACAUGAGUAACGUUAAAGCAGGUGAAAAGCCUGCUCGCCGUAAGCCCAAGGAUUCCUGCUCUACGUUCAUCGGAGCAGGGUGAGUCGGCUCCUAAGGUCAGGCCGAAAGGCGUAGCCGAUGGGAAUCAGGUUAAUAUUCCUGAACCUGCGUCAGAUGCGAUGGGGGGACGGAGCAUGGAAGAUCAUCCGGGUGUUGGAAGUCCCGGUUGUUGAGCGUAGGAGGUCUGCAGGCAAAUCCGCAGACGCAUCUCCAAGGCAAAGACACGUGCCGCUACGGCGGCGAAGUGAUCGGAAGUGCUUCCAAGAAAAGCCUCUAAGCCCCAGUCUGACGCGGACCGUACCGCAAACCGACACUGGUGGGCGAGCUGAAUAUGCUCAGGCGCUUGAGAGAACUCGGGAGAAGGAACUCGGCAAAUUGACACCGUAACUUCGGAAGAAGGUGUGCCGUAGUACCGUGAGAGGAGAGACACCUUGAGCGGGAAACGGUCUCAGAGAAUAGGUGGCUGCGACUGUUUAUUAAAAACACAGCACUCUGCAAAGUCGAAAGACGACGUAUAGGGUGUGAUGCCUGCCCGGUGCUGGAAGAUUAAUUGAUGGGGUGAGAGCCCUUGAUCGAAGUCCCAGUAAACGGCGGCCGUAACUAUAACGGUCCUAAGGUAGCGAAAUUCCUUGUCGGGUAAGUUCCGACCUGCACGA